GACGAACCGUGCGAACGUUAUUCGGAAUCACUGGGCUUAAAGCGCGUGUAGGCGGGCCGCCGCGUCGGCUGCUGAAAUCCCCCGGCUCAACCGGGGAACGGGCGCCGAUACGACCGGCCUGGAGGGGCGUAGGGGGACCUGGAACUUCCGGUGGAGCGGUGAAAUGCGUUGAGAUCGGAAGGAACGCCCGUGGCGAAAGCGAGGUCCUGGACGCCUACUGACGCUGAGACGCGAAAGCCAGGGGAGCGAACGGG
This 254-nucleotide ribosomal RNA is filed under the name uncultured bacterium. Its description in RNAcentral is "partial 16S ribosomal RNA". It matches the Rfam family "Bacterial small subunit ribosomal RNA", at positions 524 to 776 of the family's 1533-position model. The record is from RNAcentral.